CCUGCCCUUCAGAGGGGGACAACAGUUGGAAACGACUGCUAAUACCGCAUACGAUCUAAUCUCGGCAUCGAGGAUGGAUGAAAGGUGGCCUCUAUUUAUAAGCUAUCACUGAAGGAGGGGAUUGCGUCUGAUUAGCUAGUUGGAGGGGUAACGGCCCACCAAGGCGAUGAUCAGUAGCCGGUCUGAGAGGAUGACCGGCCACAUUGGGACUGAGACACGGCCCAA
This 225-nucleotide ribosomal RNA is filed under the name uncultured bacterium. Its description in RNAcentral is "partial 16S ribosomal RNA". It matches the Rfam family "Bacterial small subunit ribosomal RNA", at positions 125 to 334 of the family's 1533-position model. The record is from RNAcentral.